This 450-nucleotide ribosomal RNA is filed under the name uncultured bacterium. Its description in RNAcentral is "partial 16S ribosomal RNA". It matches the Rfam family "Bacterial small subunit ribosomal RNA", at positions 354 to 796 of the family's 1533-position model. The record is from RNAcentral.
GUGGGGAAUAUUGGACAAUGGGCGCAAGCCUGAUCCAGCAAUGCCGCGUGCAGGAAGAAGGCCUUCGGGUUGUAAACUGCUUUUGUACGGAACGAAACGGUCCGGGUUAAUACCCUGGGCUAAUGACGGUACCGUAAGAAUAAGCACCGGCUAACUACGUGCCAGCAGCCGCGGUAAUACGUAGGGUGCAAGCGUUAAUCGGAAUUACUGGGCGUAAAGCGUGCGCAGGCGGUUUUGUAAGACAGGCGUGAAAUCCCCGGGCUCAAACUGGGAAUUGCGCUUGUGACUGCAAGGCUGGAGUGCGGCAGAGGGGGAUGGAAUUCCGCGUGUAGCAGUGAAAUGCGUAGAUAUGCGGAGGAACACCGAUGGCGAAGGCAAUCCCCUGGGCCUGCACUGACGCUCAUGCACGAAAGCGUGGGGAGCAAACAGGAUUAGAUACCCUAGUAGUCC